GUCCCAGCGUAUACGCUCUGGUGUGCCUACAAUAUAAAAAUCGAAAUUCUUAAAUUGUGUAAUGACACCCCGGGAUUGCGAGGCAAUAUCUCAAUAUAAUAUAAAAUUAUAUAAUCACCCAUCAUCCCAUAUGAAUGAAAAAAUGAAUUUUUCGUUCACUUUCACUUUCAUUACGCCUUUAGGUUUUUAUAAUCCCUAUGACUUGCGUAUAUGCUAGACUUCUUGGUCCGUGUUUCAAGACGGGUCCUAUAAUUACUCAAAUAUAACAUCACGGAUAGGUAUGUGGGCGUUGCAGUUUAAGAACAACUAUAACUAACAAUAUAUAAGUAUACAGUACCAGCAUAAAUAUCUGAGUAACUAUAUGAAAUUUAAAAGAUUUGUUAUAGGCUUAAACGCUCACUAAAAAAAUUACUUUCUCUAGCGUCCCAAUACCCUUUAUAACAUGCCAAAAGGGUGUUGUCAGGACACCAAAAUCUCUAAACUGUUAUACCAUAAAUAAAUUUAUAAAUAUAACAAGGAUUUAGUAGAAAAUUAGGCCUUAGACAACAAUUACCCCAGUGGAUCGUGAUGUGCACCCAAGGGAAGAAGUGCAUGCCUCCGAUUAUAAAUAAACAAAUAAAACAGAGGAGCAUAUAACAUAAAUAUAUACAUAUAUAUAAAAAUAUAAAAUGCAAUAUAAUAUGUAUAUGUCUCGUUUAUAAAAUAAUAUUAUAUCACUGCAUAAACAGUCAUAAUCGGUAUCGAAAGGCAAUUGAAUCUUCCCUAUUCGACAUAAUUCGAGUAUUAUAGGUUUACCCCUGAACAGUUUCACGUACUAUUGAACUCUCUCUUCAAAGUUCUUUUCAACUUUCCCUCACGGUACUUGUUAUCUAUCGGUUUCGCAUUGAUAUUUAGCCUUAGAUGGAGUCUACCACCCACUUAGAGCUGCACUCUCAAGCAACUCGACUCUAAGGAGAUAAUUACCCACCCAAAUAUAUAAAUGGUCAACUACAGGCCUACCACCCUCUAUGGGUGUAUGGCCCCCUUCAAGAAGGACUUGGACACACUUAUAAACAUUUGAGUUAAACGGGUUCUCCUAAACACUACAUUGCCCGACGAUUGUAAUCAACCGUAGGCUUCAGUGCUGGGCUUUUUCCUGUUCGCUCGCCGCUACUUAGGAAAUCCU
RNAcentral lists this ribosomal RNA (1165 nucleotides) under Eripus nitidus. RNAcentral's name for it is "partial 28S large subunit ribosomal RNA". The record is from RNAcentral. Lineage: Eukaryota; Metazoa; Arthropoda; Insecta; Coleoptera; Carabidae.